RNAcentral lists this ribosomal RNA (449 nucleotides) under uncultured organism. RNAcentral's name for it is "partial 16S ribosomal RNA". It matches the Rfam family "Bacterial small subunit ribosomal RNA", at positions 331 to 797 of the family's 1533-position model. The record is from RNAcentral.
GUACACUCCUGCGGGAGGCAGCAGUGGGGAAUAUUGGACAAUGGGCGCAAGCCUGAUCCAGCCAUGCCGCGUGAGUGAUGAAGGCCCUAGGGUUGUAAAGCUCUUUCACCGGUGAAGAUAAUGACGGUAACCGGAGAAGAAGCCCCGGCUAACUUCGUGCCAGCAGCCGCGGUAAUACGAAGGGGGCUAGCGUUGUUCGGAUUUACUGGGCGUAAAGCGCACGUAGGCGGACUAUUAAGUCAGGGGUGAAAUCCCGGGGCUCAACCCCGGAACUGCCUUUGAUACUGGUAGUCUUGAGUUCGAGAGAGGUGAGUGGAAUUCCGAGUGCAGAGGUGAAAUUCGUAGAUAUUCGGAGGAACACCAGUGGCGAAGGCGGCUCACUGGCUCGAUACUGACGCUGAGGUGCGAAAGCGUGGGGAGCAAACAGGAUUAGAAACCCCGGUAGUCCC